GCGGCGGACGGGUGAGUAACACGUGGGUAACCUACCUAUAAGACUGGGAUAACUUCGGGAAACCGGAGCUAAUACCGGAUAACAUUUGGAACCGCAUGGUUCUAAAGUGAAAGAUGGUUUUGCUAUCACUUAUAGAUGGACCCGCGCCGUAUUAGCUAGUUGGUAAGGUAACGGCUUACCAAGGCGACGAUACGUAGCCGACCUGAGAGGGUGAUCGGCCACACUGGAACUGAGACACGGUCCAGACUCCUACGGGAGGCAGCAGUAGGGAAUCUUCCGCAAUGGGCGAAAGCCUGACGGAGCAACGCCGCGUGAGUGAUGAAGGGUUUCGGCUCGUAAAACUCUGUUAUUAGGGAAGAACAAAUGUGUAAGUAACUGUGCACAUCUUGACGGUACCUAAUCAGAAAGCCACGGCUAACUACGUGCCAGCAGCCGCGGUAAUACGUAGGUGGCAAGCGUUAUCCGGAAUUAUUGGGCGUAAAGCGCGCGUAGGCGGUUUCUUAAGUCUGAUGUGAAAGCCCACGGCUCAACCGUGGAGGGUCAUUGGAAACUGGGAAACUUGAGUGCAGAAGAGGAAAGUGGAAUUCCAUGUGUAGCGGUGAAAUGCGCAGAGAUAUGGAGGAACACCAGUGGCGAAGGCGACUUUCUGGUCUGUAACUGACGCUGAUGUGCGAAAGCGUGGGGAUCAAACAGGAUUAGAUACCCUGGUAGUCCACGCCGUAAACGAUGAGUGCUAAGUGUUAGGGGGUUUCCGCCCCUUAGUGCUGCAGCUAACGCAUUAAGCACUCCGCCUGGGGAGUACGACCGCAAGGUUGAAACUCAAAGGAAUUGACGGGGACCCGCACAAGCGGUGGAGCAUGUGGUUUAAUUCGAAGCAACGCGAAGAACCUUACCAAAUCUUGACAUCCUUUGAAAACUCUAGAGAUAGAGCCUUCCCCUUCGGGGGACAAAGUGACAGGUGGUGCAUGGUUGUCGUCAGCUCGUGUCGUGAGAUGUUGGGUUAAGUCCCGCAACGAGCGCAACCCUUAAGCUUAGUUGCCAUCAUUAAGUUGGGCACUCUAGGUUGACUGCCGGUGACAAACCGGAGGAAGGUGGGGAUGACGUCAAAUCAUCAUGCCCCUUAUGAUUUGGGCUACACACGUGCUACAAUGGACAAUACAAAGGGCAGCUAAACCGCGAGGUCAUGCAAAUCCCAUAAAGUUGUUCUCAGUUCGGAUUGUAGUCUGCAACUCGACUACAU
This 1240-nucleotide ribosomal RNA is filed under the name Staphylococcus saprophyticus. Its description in RNAcentral is "bacterial SSU rRNA". It matches the Rfam family "Bacterial small subunit ribosomal RNA", at positions 95 to 1321 of the family's 1533-position model. The record is from RNAcentral. Lineage: Bacteria; Bacillati; Bacillota; Bacilli; Caryophanales; Staphylococcaceae.